AUCGCCCAUGCAGCCCUAAACGUGACCCUUUCAACCGCCAAGUCAACCUCGGCCAUGAUGGUGAAGCUUGCCAAAAGCCAAGGAUUGAAGCCUACAGAGGUGGGCGCCAUGCAAGAUUGCGUGGAGGAAUUGGAGGACACGAUAGAUGAGCUGAGAAAGUCAAUCAGCGAGAUGGGUCAGAUUAAAGGCUCCAAUUUUGGACUAAUGAUUAACGAUAUACAGACAUGGGUUAGCGCUGCUUUGACGGAUGAGAACACCUGCGCCGACGGGUUUGGAGGGAAAAACAUGAACGGCAGUAUAAAGACUGCUGUGAGAUCCAAGAUUGUCACAAUCGCUCAUUUGACAAGUAAUGCCUUGGCUUUGGUCAACAGCUAUGCUUCAUUUCAUGGUUAGCUAUUUAAUCAA
Molecule: long non-coding RNA, 405 nt
Filed under: Gossypium barbadense (sea-island cotton)
Lineage: Eukaryota; Viridiplantae; Streptophyta; Magnoliopsida; Malvales; Malvaceae
Description: long non-coding RNA (GBAR_LNC002032)
Source: RNAcentral